CUACCUAUAAGACUGGGAUAACUUCGGGAAACCGGAGUUAAUACCGGAUAAUAUAUUGAACCGCAUGGUUCAAUAGUGAAAGACGGUUUUGCUGUCACUUAUAGAUGGAUCCGCGCCGCAUUAGCUAGUUGGUAAGGUAACGGCUUACCAAGGCAACGAUGCGUAGCCGACCUGAGAGGGUGAUCGGCCACACUGGAACUGAGACACGGUCCAG
RNAcentral lists this ribosomal RNA (214 nucleotides) under uncultured Staphylococcus sp. RNAcentral describes it as "partial 16S ribosomal RNA". It matches the Rfam family "Bacterial small subunit ribosomal RNA", at positions 126 to 334 of the family's 1533-position model. The record is from RNAcentral. Lineage: Bacteria; Bacillati; Bacillota; Bacilli; Caryophanales; Staphylococcaceae.